RNAcentral lists this long non-coding RNA (204 nucleotides) under Elaeis guineensis (African oil palm). RNAcentral's name for it is "long non-coding RNA (EGUI_LNC047223)". The record is from RNAcentral. Lineage: Eukaryota; Viridiplantae; Streptophyta; Magnoliopsida; Arecales; Arecaceae.
GCCUGUGUUGAGUUUCCUCUUAGAAACUGAGGGUUUUUGAUAAGAGUCUCUAUCUUCGUUAAGACGAGAUCCCUUGUGUCUUUGAUGUAGUUUAUUUUUCUCUUAUCACUAGUGUAGUUCGUCGCUUUCUCUUUUUAUCUCCCCCUAUUUUUUUAUAUUUGGGCGAGGGUUUUCCCUCUGCUCUUAGUGGGAUUGUAGGGAUGU